RNAcentral lists this unclassified non-coding RNA (228 nucleotides) under Hevea brasiliensis (rubber tree). The record is from RNAcentral. Lineage: Eukaryota; Viridiplantae; Streptophyta; Magnoliopsida; Malpighiales; Euphorbiaceae.
GCCCUUCUUAGAGCAGGCGGACCUCCCGGCAUCGCUUCCAGCCCACAAGCGGGGCUCGCGAAAGCCCCCUUCGACGCCAAUUAAGCGCGGGCGCGCUCUGGAUGACAAGGCAGCCCGAGAGGCCGCAAAGGAAUACGAACGGGAAGAACGGAAGCGAGAUCGGGAACGGGCCAAACUUGAAGCUGAACGUGCGCGUCGCGAGCGAGCCAUCUCCAAAGUCGAGGCCCA